Long non-coding RNA from Papaver somniferum (opium poppy), 1616 nucleotides. RefSeq lists it as uncharacterized. The transcript has 7 exons. The record is from RefSeq and is a predicted model, not a curated record. NCBI's taxonomy places the organism in Eukaryota, Viridiplantae, Streptophyta, Magnoliopsida, Ranunculales, Papaveraceae.
UUUUAUUACGCGCAGAAAAAAGAAAACCCAACUGAUUUCCGUUUAUAGAACUCGUAAUCCGUGUGUAUCUUUGUGCACCCUCUGUAUAAGAAGUCUUCGAAUGUUCUACAACAGAAGCAUAGCUCUUCUUUUUGACAGACGUUCUUUUCCUGCGAACGAAAAUCGUGCACGGAUCAAGUUUUUUGAUUUUUGUUUGAAGCAUAACUUUUCCUUUUGACAAACGCUUUUCUCCUAAAAGAAAAUCAUGCACGGAUCAAGUUUUUUGAUUUUUGCUUGAUCGGUUGCGCACGGAUCAAGUGUCUUCGGAGAUCAAGUUUGUUAUAAUCUGUUUUCAUCGAGACACCCCUCAAAUUAAACGCCAUCAGAACAUACAAAUAAGAAUACAUCGCAGUUUGUAGGAGGAUCGUGCAGUGAUGUGGAAGUUAAUCAAUUCGCCGACGAAAGAGAACGUAAAAAGAAGGAAAUUUCUAAAGCAAGAUCCUUGGCGCAACAAGCACGUAGAGUAAGAGAAAAACAAGAAAAAGAGCAACAGGAAAGACACAAACAACAAUUGCCAAAGAGUCGGUUUCCACAAAUAACAUCGGUCGCUGAUUCUGUCAUUCGAAAAGGUGCACUUGAACCUGAUCAAAAGAAGGAAACUUCAAUAUUAAGAUCCUUGGCACAACAGGCAUGAAGAGAAAAAGAAAAACAAGAAAAAAAGCUACGGGAAAGACACAAACAAGGAUUGCCAAAUAACCAGUUUCCACAAAUAGCAUCGGUCACUGAUUCAGCCGUGACUCAGAAAUAUGUCCUUGGACCUGAUCAAGCAAGUAUAAUUAGUUUAUAUUUAAGAACAAUAUUUAAAGGUAAUUUAACAACAAAUCUGUCUUUUCCAGAUUACCAAAGAAACAUGCUUGCAGUAUAAUCAAUCCACACCUAAAAGUGAGGCUAAAAAAAGAAACUUCAAAAGUACAAUCUCUGAGACAACAAACACGUCGAGCAAUAGAGAAACAACAAAAGGAACGUCGGGAAAUGGUGCAGAAUAGGCUACCUCAACAAAAAGUAUUAUAUUGAAAGAUGCGAAGGUCCCAACGAGAACGUCGCGCCCAAUCGGAAAAUAAAGCAUCAAUGGCACACUGCUUGGCGCAACAAGCAGGCCAACAAAGAGAGAUAACAAAAAGUUAUUCGACCAUCAAAAGAACCGUCAAUGGAAAAAUGUUUGGCACAACAAGCAGCACAAAAAUCACGUAGACAAAGAGAAAAACAAGAAAAAAAAACUAUCUGGAAGGAUUCAGAAUGAACGAAGGUGCGCAAAAAAAGUCUGAACAAGUAUAUCGACCAGAUAAUGAUAAUGGCAACGCGCAAUUUGAUCCGAUGAACGAACAUGCGAUGCAAAUCCAGGGAAGAAAAUAAAAAAGAAAAAAGAAUGAGCAAAAUCAAACCUUUGCAGGAUAAUCCUAAACGCAUGAAAAGAAAGAGAAUUGUAGAACCUACUAUGCUAGAAAAAGAAACAAUGAAUCCUGAGACUAAAGCUCAUCGCGGCGAUCGGGUAAAAGCAAAUUAACAUGAAGUGAACCUUCUGCUUUGUAAUUUAUAUACCGCGUUAAUGAAAACAAAAAAGGCUGAUUUUAACUGAA